GAUGAACGCUAGCGAUAGGCUUAACACAUGCAAGUCGAGGGGCAGCAUGGUCUUAGCUUGCUAAGACUGAUGGCGACCGGCGCACGGGUGCGUAACGCGUAUGCAACUUGCCUCACAGAGGGGGAUAACCCGUCGAAAGACGGACUAAUACCGCGUACACUCCAUCUUGGGCAUCCAAGGUAGAGGAAAUGAAAUUCGCUGUGAGAUAGGCAUGCGUCCCAUUAGCUAGUUGGUGAGGUAACGGCUCACCAAGGCGACGAUGGGUAGGGGAACUGAGAGGUUGAACCCCCACACUGGUACUGCGACACGGACCAGACUCCUACGGGAGGCAGCAGUGAGGAAUAUUGGUCAAUGGGCGAGAGCCUGAACCAGCCAAGUCGCGUGAAGGAUGACUGUCUUAUGGAUUGUAAACUUCUUUUAUACGGGAAUAACAAGAGUCACGGGUGACUCCCUGCAUGUACCGUAUGAAUAAGCAUCGGCUAACUCCGUG
This 490-nucleotide ribosomal RNA is filed under the name uncultured bacterium. RNAcentral's name for it is "partial 16S ribosomal RNA". It matches the Rfam family "Bacterial small subunit ribosomal RNA", at positions 28 to 507 of the family's 1533-position model. The record is from RNAcentral.